AUCUAGAACUCAGGAUCACUCGUGUUACACUGCAAUCGCGUGUCGCCCUUAGAGUUUGAUCCUGGCUCAGAGUGAACGCUGGCGGCAGGCCUAACACAUGCAAGUCGAACGGCAGCACAGAGGAGCUUGCUCCUUGGGUGGCGAGUGGCGGACGGGUGAGGAAAACGUCGGAAUCUGCCUAUUUGUGGGGGAUAACGUAGGGAAACUUACGCUAAUACCGCAUACGACCUACGGGUGAAAGCGGAGGACCUUCGGGCUUCGCGCAGAUAGAUGAGCCGACGUCGGAUUAGCUAGUUGGCGGGGUAAAGGCCCACCAAGGCGACGAUCCGUAGCUGGUCUGAGAGGAUGAUCAGCCACACUGGAACUGAGACACGGUCCAGACUCCUACGGGAGGCAGCAGUGGGGAAUAUUGGACAAUGGGCGCAAGCCUGAUCCAGCCAUGCCGCGUGUGUGGAGAAGGCCUUCGGGUUGUAAAGCACUUUUGUCCGGAAAGAAAAGCACUGGGUUAAUACCCUGGUGUCAUGACGGUACCGGAAGAAUAAGCACCGGCUAACUUCGUGCCAGCAGCCGCGGUAAUACGAAGGGUGCAAGCGUUACUCGGAAUUACUGGGCGUAAAGCGUGCGUAGGCGGUUUGUUAAGUCUGAUGUGAAAGCCCUGGGCUCAACCUGGGAAUGGCAUUGGAUACUGGCAAUCUAGAAUGUGGUAGAGGGUGGCGGAACUCCCGGUGUAGCAGUGAAAUGCGUAGAUAUCGGGAGGAACAUCCGUGGCGAAGGCGGCCACCUGGACCAACAUUGACGCUGAGGCACGAAAGCGUGGGGAGCAAACAGGAUUAGAUACCCUGGUAGUCCACGCCCUAAACGAUGCGAACUGGAUGUUGGGCUCAAUUGAGAGCUCAGUAUCGAAGCUAACGCGUUAAGUUCGCCGCCUGGGAAGUACGGUCGCAAGACUGAAACUCAAAGGAAUUGACGGGGGCCCGCACAAGCGGUGGAGUAUGUGGUUUAAUUCGAUGCAACGCGAAGAACCUUACCUGGCCUUGACAUGUCGCGAACUUUCCAGAGAUGGAUUGGUGCCUUCGGGAACGCGAACACAGGUGCUGCAUGGCUGUCGUCAGCUCGUGUCGUGAGAUGUUGGGUUAAGUCCCGCAACGAGCGCAACCCUUGUCCUUAGUUGCCAGCACGUAAUGGUGGGAACUCUAAGGAGACUGCCGGUGACAAACCGGAGGAAGGUGGGGAUGACGUCAAGUCAUCAUGGCCCUUACGGCCAGGGCUACACACGUACUACAAUGGUAGGGACAGAGGGCUGCAAACCCGCGAGGGCAAGCCAAUCCCAGAAACCCUAUCUCAGUCCGGAUCGGAGUCUGCAACUCGACUCCGUGAAGUCGGAAUCGCUAGUAAUCGCAGAUCAGCAUUGCUGCGGUGAAUACGUUCCCGGGCCUUGUACACACCGCCCGUCACACCAUGGGAGUUUGUUGCACCAGAAGCAGGUAGCUUAACCUUCGGGAGGGCGCUUGCCACGGUGUGGCAGAUGACUGGGGUGAAGUCGUAACAAGGUAACCAAGGGCGACACGCGAUUGCAGUCUUGAGUCCAC
RNAcentral lists this ribosomal RNA (1589 nucleotides) under uncultured bacterium. Its description in RNAcentral is "bacterial SSU rRNA". It matches the Rfam family "Bacterial small subunit ribosomal RNA". The record is from RNAcentral.